CUCAAAGCACACAAUAGAUGCGUUCUACAGUCUCCUGUCCUUCCGAGUUCAUUCUUCCAUAGCAGCUUGGCUAGAGAUGGUGCUUGUCAGAAACUCAGCAGAAUGGCAUCAAUGUCAAGAAUGGACUGGUAGAUGUCAGACUUGAGAAACCUGGGGUAGCAGUCUCUCGCCAUUAGACUGAAGAUCAUCUUCUGUGCAGUAUCAAAUGAGUUCAGGAUAGAAGAUUCUCGAUGGACUCGCCCCAGGAGUCCACAUCUUCAACAUGUUCCUGAGAAAAGCAACAAAAUCUACCCUUGAAAAUUACAUGAAGAUCCCUCACUGGAGAAGC
This is a long non-coding RNA of Xyrauchen texanus (razorback sucker), 328 nucleotides long. RefSeq lists it as uncharacterized. NCBI's taxonomy places the organism in Eukaryota, Metazoa, Chordata, Actinopteri, Cypriniformes, Catostomidae. The record is from RefSeq and is a predicted model, not a curated record. The transcript has 3 exons.